This 253-nucleotide ribosomal RNA is filed under the name uncultured bacterium. RNAcentral describes it as "partial 16S ribosomal RNA". It matches the Rfam family "Bacterial small subunit ribosomal RNA", at positions 524 to 776 of the family's 1533-position model. The record is from RNAcentral.
UACGGGGGGGGCAAGCGUUGUUCGGAAUUACUGGGCGUAAAGGGCGCGUAGGCGGCGCGGUAAGUCACUUGUGAAAUCUCUGAGCUUAACUCAGAACGGCCAAGUGAUACUGCAGUGCUAGAGUGCAGAAGGGGCAAUCGGAAUUCUUGGUGUAGCGGUGAAAUGCGUAGAUAUCAAGAGGAACACCUGAGGUGAAGACGGGUUGCUAGGCUGACACUGACGCUGAGGCGCGAAAGCCAGGGGAGCAAACGGG